RNAcentral lists this ribosomal RNA (723 nucleotides) under Bacillus sp. (in: firmicutes). RNAcentral's name for it is "bacterial SSU rRNA". It matches the Rfam family "Bacterial small subunit ribosomal RNA", at positions 56 to 762 of the family's 1533-position model. Lineage: Bacteria; Bacillati; Bacillota; Bacilli; Caryophanales; Bacillaceae. The record is from RNAcentral.
UGCAGUCGAGCGGACAGAUGGGAGCUUGCUCCCUGAUGUUAGCGGCGGACGGGUGAGUAACACGUGGGUAACCUGCCUGUAAGACUGGGAUAACUCCGGGAAACCGGGGCUAAUACCGGAUGCUUGUUUGAACCGCAUGGUUCAGACAUAAAAGGUGGCUUCGGCUACCACUUACAGAUGGACCCGCGGCGCAUUAGCUAGUUGGUGAGGUAACGGCUCACCAAGGCGACGAUGCGUAGCCGACCUGAGAGGGUGAUCGGCCACACUGGGACUGAGACACGGCCCAGACUCCUACGGGAGGCAGCAGUAGGGAAUCUUCCGCAAUGGACGAAAGUCUGACGGAGCAACGCCGCGUGAGUGAUGAAGGUUUUCGGAUCGUAAAGCUCUGUUGUUAGGGAAGAACAAGUGCCGUUCAAAUAGGGCGGCACCUUGACGGUACCUAACCAGAAAGCCACGGCUAACUACGUGCCAGCAGCCGCGGUAAUACGUAGGUGGCAAGCGUUGUCCGGAAUUAUUGGGCGUAAAGGGCUCGCAGGCGGUUUCUUAAGUCUGAUGUGAAAGCCCCCGGCUCAACCGGGGAGGGUCAUUGGAAACUGGGGAACUUGAGUGCAGAAGAGGAGAGUGGAAUUCCACGUGUAGCGGUGAAAUGCGUAGAGAUGUGGAGGAACACCAGUGGCGAAGGCGACUCUCUGGUCUGUAACUGACGCUGAGGAGCGAAAGCGU